UACGGGGGGGGCAAGCGUUGUUCGGAAUUACUGGGCGUAAAGCGCACGUAGGCGGAUCUUUAAGUCAGGGGUGAAAUCCUGGAGCUCAACUCCAGAACUGCCUUUGAUACUGGGGAUCUCGAGUCCGGAAGAGGUGAGUGGAACUCCGAGUGUAGAGGUGAAAUUCGUAGAUAUUCGGAAGAACACCAGUGGCGAAGGCGGCUCACUGGUCCGGUACUGACGCUGAGGUGCGAAAGCGUGGGGAGCAAACAGG
RNAcentral lists this ribosomal RNA (253 nucleotides) under uncultured bacterium. Its description in RNAcentral is "partial 16S ribosomal RNA". It matches the Rfam family "Bacterial small subunit ribosomal RNA", at positions 524 to 776 of the family's 1533-position model. The record is from RNAcentral.